UUGUGUGUAAGUGUGAUGUGAUAUGUGAUUGAUCUAGUUGUUAUAAAAGGUAGUAUGGUUGUUGUGAUGAGGUCGUAGGCAUGCUAGGGUUGUCAAGAAAGUGAUGAUAAGAUGUUGAGACGUGAUGUGAAUUGAUAAGUGAAUGACGUUAAGUAUAAGUAUGGGAUUGGGUGAUCAUAUAGAGUAUAAGGGGGUGUGCCGUGGGGUAGUAGUUCUACGCUAGGCACCAAUAGGAGUUGUGGGGUAGUGCCCCGUUGGGGCACCCACAGGAAUAUGGGGUAGUGGUCUAGCGAGAGCUACCCACGGGGAAUGAGAAGACGAGCCAACCAUGGUAAUCCGUACUCACCCCUCUUCCUGCAGGUAUGGCCGAGAGGGAGCAGGAGUAGAAGUCCGUAUGGUGCAAGUGUUUUCUCGAGUCUUUUCUUUAUUUUUCAAACAUUUUCUUUAAGGUUUUAUUGGAUAUUUCAGUCUUUAAGUUGAGUUCGGAUUUAUGUAAGACUAUUUGGGUUUUAAUAAGAGUUAUUGGAUGAAAUGAGUUGUAUUAUGGUAUUCGAUGAGGAUCACCUGGCCAGGGACGUUACAAUUGGUAUCAGAGCCGGUCCCGGGUGGGUAGGGGAAAGGUUGGGUAGAAGUAGAUAAAAGCCGGGUUUCAAAAGAACUUCUUUCAAGUGUUUGUAAAAGUGUUUUCAAAAGAUAGAUUCGACGUAUGUCAAAAAAAAAAAGCACCACUCGGACCGAACUUCUAGCUUACUCGGUAGGCAAAAGAACUUGAGUAGAACUGUUUCUAAUACUCCUCCGCUUGUCAACAGGAUGACUCCCAAGAACGCCAGAGUUGCAAGGGCAGCUGCGACCGCCCAAAGAGCAACACGACGGGCCACUAGGUCUUCGACUCAGCCUUCAGCGAGGCAGAAAGCCGGAGUGUGGCUGCACCCGUGAAUGAGAACCCAGCAGAAGUGCCAAACGCAGUGAAUGCAGCGAUCCUGGUGGAACUGCAAAGGUACCGAGACGCCAAUGGGGGACAACUUCCCAAUGGUGAAGCCGCAGCAGGGGCGGGGGACGUCCCCAUACCACCUGGGGCAGGCCAGAAUCCGCCACCACCGCCACCACCCCUGGCGGCGCCUGCAGUGGUGCACGCCCAUGCCCCAACUAUUGGGACAUGAUGAGACAUAUAAAGAAUAUGCAUAUGGAGUUUUUCAACGGAAAGGCCGAUGCAAUUGCCGCGGUAACUGGAGGCGCCAACUCGAGGGGAAUUUUGUUUCUGCAAGGUGCCCACCUGAGCUCCGUAGGGAUCUGGCCAUCCACCACCUUAAGGACGAUGCGCUAGUGUGGUGGGAGGAAGUGGUUGUAAGAGCACACGGGAUACGACUGACCUGGGAUGACUUCCUGGAAGCAUUCAAUGGGAAGUAUUUCUCCUUGGAAGCUAUGGACGCAAUGGAAAGCAAGUUUCAGGACAUCCGUCAAGGGACAAGGAACGUGAGAGACUACGGGGACGAGUUCAACCGACUUCGGAGAUUUGUGGGCCACUACCUGAGUGACACGAAUUAGUCCGCCGGUUCCUUAAAGGAAUGAGGAUAGAAUUGAGGAACAGCUGCAACGUGCGGGACUACCGUGAUGUCCAUGAACUGAUCGAGAAAGCCGCUGAACAAGAAACAGGACUCGAGGAGGAGCGGCGACAGAAGCAGACCUCCCAGAAUCGGGGUGCCAAACAGCCCCGGGAUGCACUGCCCCGGGAUGCACUGCCCCAGGAUGCACUGCCCCGGGAUGCCCUGCCCCCGACCGAGCCUGCCCCGGCAAGGUCCCCAUGCGAAAAGUGUGGACGAUUCCAUAUGAGAGAGUGCAGGGCGGGAGCAUGCUACAACUAUGGUGAGCUCGGCCAUGUGGCGAGGGAGUGCCCGAAGGAGAGACAAGCCCAUCGCAGACUCUGUUACCGCUGUGGCCAGGAAGGACACAUGUCGGGGGAUUGUCCAUUACAUCAAGGAGGGAAUGCGGGAGGGGCGCAACCCCAACAGCAGAGAGGACAAGCUGCAAGGCCACGAGCGUAUGCAGUUGAAGGUCGCGAAGGAGCCGAAACAAUCGCGGGUAUGUCCUUGUCUUGACCCUACGAGUAUGUAUUAUGAAAAGAACCGUUAGAGGUCACAUAGCUUAGCAUUAGUAUCGUGUAGGUUCUGUCGCGGUCGGAGGAGUGACAGCAUUCACUCUCUUCGACACUGGGGCAACUCACAGUUUUGUAUGCCCCAGACUUACACGUGAGUGGAACUUUAAGGGGAACUUCAACACCAUGGUGACUGGAGUCGAGACUACAGGAACAGAGAAAAUGGCCACGAGGGGAAGGUAUGAAGAGGUGCCAGUGGUCCUCUCAGGAGUGAACCUACCCGGGGACUUACUAGAGUUAGAACUGGGGCGUUACGAAGUGAUAUUGGGAAUGGAUUGGCUCGUACAACACCGAGCUGUAGUCGAAUGUGCCAAGGCAUGCGUUAGAUUUCCGCUAGAUGGGAGGCAAAUCGUGUACAGAGGAAUGAGAACUAGGACCGGGAUAUCUGUGGUAUCAAUGGUUCAUGCCGAAGAAGCAAUCCGGAAAGGAGGAGAAGCCUUCCUAGCCACUAUAGAAAUGGUGGGGGAGACCGAAGCACCAGAACUGAGAAGUAUUCCUGUAGCGGCGGAGUAUUCAGAUGUGUUCGAACCACUACGCGGACCCCCACCUCACCAAAAUAAUGCCUUUACGAUUGAGCUAGAACCCGGAACCGCCCCGGUUUCCAGGGCUCCCUAACGAUUGGAACCGGCAGAGAUGGCCGAACUUAAGAAACAACUGGAAGAACAAGUGGAGAAUGGAUUCAUACGCCCGAGUAGCUUGCCAUGGGGUGCGCCCGUGCUCUUUGUCAAAAAGAAGGAUGGGAGCCUUUGACUCUGCAUCGACUACUGAGGAUUAAACAAGGUAACCAUCAAAAACAAGUACCCCCUACCCCGUAUAGACGAACUCAUGGAUCAGUUGGAGGGGGCCACAUGGUUUUCAAAGAUCGAUCUUGCUUCAGGUUAUCACCAAAUUCCUAUUCACGAAGGAGAUAUUAAGAAAACGGCUUUCCGUACCCGGUACGGACACUACGAAUUAGUAGUAAUGCCCUUUGGGCUGACUAAUGCGCCGGCAGCUUUCAUGGGGCUAAUGAAUGACAUUUUCAGAGAUUACCUGGACCAAUGCGUGAUCGUCUUCAUCGACGAUAUCUGGAUUUACUCCAAGAACCGGGAGGACCACGGACGCCAUUUGAGUAUAGUGCUGGACAAGUUAAGAGAGCAGGGAUUAUAUGCUAAGCUUAGCAAGUGCAGUUUCUGGCAACGUAAGAUCGGGUUCCUAGGGCAUGUGAUUUCCGAGGCAAGGAUAGCAGUGGACCCAGAGAAGAUCGCAGCAAUCACUCGAGGAUAUGCUGAGGUCGAGCGUCUUGGAAUGGGGAGGUAAAUGGGGCGAGUAUCUACCAUUAGUGGAGUUCUCUUAUAACAACAGCUACCACGCGAGCAUUGAAAUGUCUCCUUACGAAGCACUGUACGGGCGACCCUGUAGGACCCCCUUAUGUUGGACCGAAGUGGGGGAGAAACGAGAUAUGACUCCAAAACUAGUCGGAGAAACGAUCGAGAAAGUAGAACUCCUCAAGAAAAGAUUGGAAAUAGCACACGACCGCCAGAAGAGUUACGCCGACAAACACAUAAAGAAGCUAGAGUUUGCAGUAGGGGACGAAGUGUAUUUGAAAAUGAGGACCUUCCAAGGGAGUGACCCAAACCGGAAGUUUAAGAAGUUGAGACCCAUGUACAUGGGCCCGUACGUGAUAAAGGAAAGGAUUGGAACAGUCGCGUACCGUCUGGCACUACCGCCGGAAUUGUCUGAUUUCCAUGAUGUGUUCCACGUCUCAGUGCUACGGAAGGUUGUACGAGAACCCGAGCUAAUCCUGCCGCAUCCACCUGCAGAUUCGCAACGUAACCUGUCGUUGGUUAGCAAACCAGUGAAGAUUGUGGAUGAAAAGGAAUUUGAUAACCGUGGACGGAAAGAAAAGAUGGUGCUCGUGCACUGGGAGAGGGAUAGAAUCCACGAGGAUGUGUGGGAACCUGAGUUUCACUUGAAGGCUAACUACCCCGGGAUAUUCGGAAACGUUGAACGGAAUCGGGACGCGAUUCAGAAUUCGGGGACAAAUCCCUUUCUAGUGGGAGAGAAUUGUAACACCCGAGCCUGGCCCAAAAUGAAACUCAAGUGUUGCAGGCCCAAGAAGGAGAAACCCUAGACAUGACCCCUCCCACUUCUUAUAAAAGGGGAAGCCCCCUUAGGGUUCAGCCACAAGAGAGACAGCAAGCGAAGCCCUACCCGAGCAGAACCCCGCCGCCGCCUCUCGCCACCGCCGUUCUGCCUCCGUCGAAGUCAGCCGUCGUCCACCGCCCGCGAAGCCCAAGCCGCCGCACCCGAGCCCCUAGCCGUCGCCUCCUUGAUUCGGUUUCGUGCAAGCAACUGAGAUCUAACCACAAGAUCCUGGGAAGUGACCGUCUCUUCCACUCUAGAUCCAGAUCUACCACUGCAAUAAGCUAAGGUCAGGACUUGGUUGUGAACUUGCCUCAUGUUGAGUAACCAAUGGGACUUAGUCCUCUGUUAAUCAGAUCUAGAACUUGUGUGUAAGUGUGAUGUGAUAUGUGAUUGAUCUAGUUGUUAUAAAAGGUAGUAUGGUUGUUGUGAUGAAGUCGUAGGCAUGCUAGGGUUGUCAAGAAAGUCAUGAUAAGAUGUUGAGACGUAUGUGAAUGGAUAAGUGAAUGACGUUAAGUAUAAGUAUGGCAUUGGGUGAUCAUAUAGAGUAUAAGGGGGUGUACCGUGGGGUAGUAGUUCUACGCUAGGCACCCAUAGGAGCUGUGGGGUAGUGUCUCAUUGGGGCACCCACAGGAAUAUGGGGUAGUGGUCUAGCGAGAGCUACCCACGGGGAAUGAGAAGACGAGCCAACCGCGAGAGGCGGGAUAUAAAAACGUUCAUUUAGGUGUCAUUAGUUCAUGGUCGGGUAUUUGGGUUCCUGUGUAAUAGAUCUUAUUAGCUCAUGACUUGUGAUUGUUUGCUCCUCCUGAGUUGAGUUCGUGGGUUCCCAGAACCUGCCCUCACUGAAUAAUCCGUACUCACCCUUCUUCCUGCAGGUAUGGCCGAGAGGGAGCGGGAGUAGAAGUCUGUAUGGUGCAAGUGUUUUCUCGAGUCUUUUCUUUAUUUUUCAAACAUUUUCUUUAAGGUUUCAUUGGAUAUUUCAGUCUUUUAAGUUGAGUUUGGAUUAUGUAAGACUAUUUAGGUUUUAAUAAGAGUUAUUGGAUGAAAUGAGUUGUAUUAU
RNAcentral lists this long non-coding RNA (5333 nucleotides) under Brassica napus (rape). RNAcentral's name for it is "long non-coding RNA (BNAP_LNC014100)". The record is from RNAcentral. Lineage: Eukaryota; Viridiplantae; Streptophyta; Magnoliopsida; Brassicales; Brassicaceae.